RNAcentral lists this long non-coding RNA (648 nucleotides) under Ornithorhynchus anatinus (platypus). RNAcentral's name for it is "lncRNA (ENSOANG00000049960.1)". Lineage: Eukaryota; Metazoa; Chordata; Mammalia; Monotremata; Ornithorhynchidae. The record is from RNAcentral.
UCUAUAGGAUUGAUUUUUCCCAAAUCUGCCCAUGAAGUGGCCAUUUAUAGACCCAAGGAAGCCUCUGAUGCCCGACACUGGGACAAUGGGACUGUUCUGGAGCAGUGCCAACCACAAAUGAUGUGCCAGUCCAUCUUCCUGGCUUUGAGGGCAAAGAGGAGAGUCAUGCAUCUUGAAGAGAGGGAGAGAACACGGCCAGGAUCCAACAUGCUGGGUAUGACAAUCACUCAAUGAAUCAGUGGUAUUUAUUGAGUGCUUGCUAUGUGCAGAAGACUGUACUAAGCACUUGGGAGAGUAUAGUAUAACAGAGUUCAUUAAUUCAUUCAUUCAAUAGUAUUUACUGAGUGCUUACUAAGUGCAGAGCACUGUACUAAGCACUUGGAAUGUACAAUUCGGCAAAGAGAUACAUUCCAAAGAGACAAAGUUUGUAGCACAUUCACUGCCCACAGUGAGCUUACAGUCCAGAGGGCGAUACAGAUAUUAAUUUAGAAACAACGUGGCUUAAGAGAUAGAACACAGGCCUAGAAGUCACUAGGACCUGGGUUCUCCUCCCGCCUCUGCCUCAUGACUGUUGUGUUACCUUGGGCAAGGAACUUCACUUCUCUGUGCCUCAGUUAUCUGUAAAAUGGGGAUUAGGAGUAUGAGCCA